This is a small nuclear RNA of Artibeus jamaicensis (Jamaican fruit-eating bat), 125 nucleotides long. The record is from RefSeq and is a predicted model, not a curated record. NCBI's taxonomy places the organism in Eukaryota, Metazoa, Chordata, Mammalia, Chiroptera, Phyllostomidae.
CAUUUGUAUGAAAGAAAAGAAAGUUAGCACUCUCUUAGACAAGAACAGAAGAGGUCUGUGGGCUUCACAACAUGCAGACCAUUAAGGUAAUGCCACCUACUUCACGGCUUUUUCCACUUCUAUUU